GACGAACGCUGGCGGCGUGCCUAAUACAUGCAAGUUGAGCGCUGAAGGUUGGUACUUGUACCAACUGGAUGAGCAGCGAACGGGUGAGUAACGCGUGGGGAAUCUGCCUUUGAGCGGGGGACAACAUUUGGAAACGAAUGCUAAUACCGCAUAAAAACUUUAAACACAAGUUUUAAGUUUGAAAGAUGCAAUUGCAUCACUCAAAGAUGAUCCCGCGUUGUAUUAGCUAGUUGGUGAGGGAAGGGCUCACCAAGGCGAGGAUACAUAGCCGACCUGAGAGGGGGAUGGCCCACAUUGGAACUGAACAACGCCCCAAACUCCAAGGGAGGCAGCAGUAGGGAAUCUUCGGCAAUGGACGAAAGUCUGACCGAGCAACGCCGCGUGAGUGAAGAAGGUUUUCGGAUCGUAAAACUCUGUUGGUAGAGAAGAACGUUGGUGAGAGUGGAAAGCUCAUCAAGUGACGGUAACUACCCAGAAAGGGACGGCUAACUACGUG
RNAcentral lists this ribosomal RNA (496 nucleotides) under uncultured bacterium. RNAcentral describes it as "partial 16S ribosomal RNA". It matches the Rfam family "Bacterial small subunit ribosomal RNA", at positions 28 to 507 of the family's 1533-position model. The record is from RNAcentral.